GUGCCAGCAGCCGCGGUAAUACAGAGGUCCCGAGCGUUGUUCGGAUUCAUUGGGCGUAAAGGGUGCGUAGGCGGUGGUGUAAGUUGGAUGUGAAAUCUUGGGGCUUAACCUCAAAAUUGCAUUCAAUACUGCUCCGCUCGAGCGCUGUAGAGGAGAUUGGAAUUUACGGUGUAGCAGUGAAAUGCGUAGAUAUCGUAAGGAACACCAGUGGCGAAAGCGAAUCUCUGGACAGCAGCUGACGCUGAGGCACGAAGGCCAGGGGAGCAAACGGGAUUAGAUACCCCUGUAGUCC
Molecule: ribosomal RNA, 292 nt
Filed under: uncultured bacterium
Lineage: Bacteria
Description: partial 16S ribosomal RNA
Rfam family: Bacterial small subunit ribosomal RNA
Source: RNAcentral